CCAGAUUGUGCACUGGCACUCUCCACCCGACACCAAGUCUUGUGUGGACAUUGAAUCUCUCCUGAUGGGAGCAGAUCUUCCCCAGUUUAUUAUGUGGCUCCCCAAAAAACACUGAGCCUUCCUGAAGACCAGUUGUCUGGCAGUCCUAAACUCCCUCCGAAUCUGGGACUUAGCCUCAAAAUACUCUCUUAGUAACCCCGUUUCUCCAAUGACCACAAUACUCCAAAACAGAGCCUUCCUGCCAGGAAUGAGAGCAAGAGAUUUUAAGAGACUUGAAUACACAGGAUUUCAGAAAUGUGUAAAUCUGUACAUAGACAAGGCCACAGUCACCUAAAAGAAUUAGCUCCCCUGCAGACUAGAGACUACUUUCGAAAUGUAAAAAUAUGGGACUUUACACAGA
This is a non-coding RNA of Pelobates cultripes (western spadefoot toad), 400 nucleotides long. NCBI's taxonomy places the organism in Eukaryota, Metazoa, Chordata, Amphibia, Anura, Pelobatidae. The record is from the annotation of a GenBank genome assembly.